Long non-coding RNA from Apus apus (common swift), 1649 nucleotides. RefSeq lists it as uncharacterized. The transcript is spliced from 2 exons. Lineage: Eukaryota; Metazoa; Chordata; Aves; Apodiformes; Apodidae. The record is from RefSeq and is a predicted model, not a curated record.
AGUAGCAAAGGCUGGGCAGCUGGCCUGCAAGGCUGCAUGAAACAUGAAGGCAACAGACCCCCUUUUAAUGCAGGAAAGGAUCAGAACUUCAAUCCUUGCUUGGAUCACAGUUGUAGGGCUUCAGUUGAAGGAAGCAAGGUAAGAAGAAAGGGUUGUGGACAUUCUCCCUCCUGGCUAUGACAUCUGCAGACAUGGCAGUAGCUCCAUUCUCCCAGAUGUUCUUCUAGCAUUUGGAACUCAGUUAUUUUCUGCAUUUUAUAUUUGUGACUUGAACAAUGAAUAUGUACCAAAACUUGAAGAAGAAAUGAUUAGACAGAAAGGACUGGACAUUACUGUGUGUUACGCCACGUUAUCAUAGGAGACUACAACCCAAUUCCCUUUCAGCAAAGCUCUGCCUUGAAAAUGUUGAGCAGUGUUGCUCACUGCUGCUAUGGGCACUGAAUUCCCAGUCUCUCUUCUGAUGCUUUGAACCUUCCAAUGUCUAACCUUUGUGGAGAGUCUAAAUCUACUAAUUCUCUGCCCAAAAUGAUUUUUGGUUAAACAGCAUUUCUCCUUGCAACUAUUCACUUUCCUGAUGUUGUUAUGAAGAGACUUCCAACCCUCCUUCUGGUUUUGUAGAAAUAACAUACCAAGCCUACUUGGUGGAUGAAAAGCUGGAUAUAAACUGGCAAUGUGUUCUGACAGCCUUGAGAGUCAAUUGUGUCCUGGGCUGCAUCACCAGCAGGUGACCAGGGAUUCUACCCCUCUCCUCCACUCUCAUGACACUCCCCCCUGCAGUGCUGGGCCCAGUUCUGGGGCACCCAUCACAAGAAGGAUGUGGAACUGUUGGAGUGAAUCCAGAGUAAGACACAAAGAUGCUCAGAGGACUGGAGCAGCUCUGCUCUGGAGAGAGGCUGGGAGAGCUGGGGUUGUUCAGCCUGGACAAGAAAUGAUUCAGGGGAGACCUUAUUGUGGCCUUUCAAUACUUAAAAGGUUGGGCACUAUGCAAAGCUGACAAGACGGGUGGGACUGGCAGCAUUGGCAUGGCCCCUCGAGGUCCAAUGGAAGGAGGGCAACCCUCAUUUCUGUCUGUCUCAUGUGAUGGACAAAACAUCUAGAAGAUAAUUGGGGGUAUCAGGCCCACAUCUCCCUCUCUGCACCUCCCAGACUGCAAGUGGUGGAUUGCUGUGAUGAACCCUGUGGAAGACCUGACGAGAAAAUGGAGCUUCUGACCUCUGCCAGGCAGCUGUGAGAACCACAGUGGGCAGUGGUGGUCUAGGGAAAGGCCAUGUAGGUGUAGUUAUGUACAUAUUGUUGAGGCAGAGGCACGGGUUCUUAAACAGGCUGUUGCCUUUACAGUUGGUGUCUUCACCAUCCCCUUCCAUGGAGAAGAGGGGUACAGGAUGUGAAAUCAUUUGUACCUUCUUAUGUUCUGUACUGUGUUGUCUCCUUUUGCUUCAGGCAGGGGAUGAAGAAGGAAUCUGCUGUCAUCUAUGGUUUAGGGGUGAACGUGGUAGAGUAGCCUUAAAGGUUGGACUUGAUGAUCUUAAAGGUCUUUUUCAACCUAAAUUAUUCUAUGAUUCUAUGAUCUCUCCUCUGUUUUCCUUCUCAACAUGGGAAUAUAAGUUGUGAGGAGUCAAUCUCUCCUAUUAAAACACUCUGUGUCUGUG